RNAcentral lists this long non-coding RNA (1525 nucleotides) under Cricetulus griseus (Chinese hamster). RNAcentral describes it as "lncRNA (ENSCGRG00015036480.1)". The record is from RNAcentral. Lineage: Eukaryota; Metazoa; Chordata; Mammalia; Rodentia; Cricetidae.
AUGUGCUCGCUGCAGGAUGACAACCACAACACUCCAGAACCACCCCCCUCCAAGGAGGCGGGGUUACGCCAUCAGCCAAUCGGAGCCCGCGAUCCCGGGUGUCCAACCUAUGGGGUGGCCGUGGCCGUGCAGGGGGAGGACAUGGGGUGGUCCGGGAGGGGCCGCGUCCGUGGGAGGAGUGCACGUGUCCAGAGAGGCUGGGAACCCGCUGGCGUCCAGCUGCCGAGGCGCCCGCCCGGUGUCCGAGUCCAGCUGCCCAGUGCCGUCUUGGACUGGGCAAGGCAGGCGAUCGUCCACCGAGGAAGACCUGUCCAUGUGUCCAGUUCCCGGCGAGAGGGACAGACACAAAUAACAACAAUAGUACCUCGCGCAGACCGGGCGGGGAGGAAAGUUUCUGGCCCGCGCCAGAGUGGAGACAGCCAAAGGCAGGGAGAUGCUAUGCAAGACAGGAGGGUGACACAGUGGGAAGAAGGGGGACAACCGGAGGGCUGCGCGGGCAGGACAGGGUCCAGGGUGCGGUCCCCGGGAGGCGAACCGCGCGGGAUGCGCUGUCCAAGGUGCAAGGGAGGCGGUUGGUGCGUGGCAGGCGCGGAGCCCGAGCGGACACUAGCCCGCCAGAGGCAAAAAGAGCGGAGAACAGCUGUGCGGGGCGCCGGACACCCCCAGCUCGUAAAAGUGCGGGAGCCCGGGGAGCGGCGGCGAAGGGCGCAGGGGGCUCCCCCGCACCGCUGCCUUCCAGCCUCACCUCCAGCUCUGCUCCCCUCCCCCCUCGCCCACUCCUCUCGGUGCCUUGUCCCCGGGCCGCGGCGGGGGCGGGACCGGGAGCCCCCCACCCCCGGACUGCGAGUCCCGACGCCCCAGGGAUGCUGCGGGCCGCGGAGCCGCUUACCUGGGGCCACGGUGCGGAGAUUCAAGACAAGCGAGCGCGGGGCGCGGCGCGGCUCCUCCUCGCCUCGGCGUCUCCUCCGGAUCCCGCUUCUGCCGGACUCCGUCCGGGGCUGAGAGCAGCCAGACGGGGCCAGACUGCGGCCGCCGCUCGCGCCGCCGCCGCUGCCGCAGACAGAGGACGCCCCGUGGCGGCUGGAAGCCUGUUGACCUGCCAUGUGACCUCGGAGGCUUCACCUACCACACUUCCUUUGCCGUGCCUGCACAAGCUGAAUAACACCUUCCUUACCCAUUUAUUAAGAAAAUUCUGUGAAGCAACAUGAGAUAGACUCCUUGGAAUUGUAGAAUGUUGGCUCCACAUCAAGUGUGUGGCAGGAACUUGGAAGACAGACAUGACUGAGAAAUUCCUGAAACCAGGGUGGCAACUUUUGCAAGACUGCACUAGGGAAUGGGAUAGGUAAAGAUAUGAAAAAGAACAGUCAGGUGGAGAAGACGCACAUCUUCCCUGUGCCCUCUAUCCAACUCACGCUCCUCCACUCCACCAUCAUACCGUCAGUCUCUAUCCAACUCACGCUCCUCCACUCCACCGUCAUGCCAUCAGUUUCCUGAGAUGUCAACUAGUAGGAAUCCACCCCUCGAG